Ictidomys tridecemlineatus (thirteen-lined ground squirrel) is the source of this 74-nucleotide non-coding RNA. The record is from Rfam. NCBI's taxonomy places the organism in Eukaryota, Metazoa, Chordata, Mammalia, Rodentia, Sciuridae.
UGUGUUGUGGCUCAGUGGUAGAGUGCUUGUCUAGCACACGUGCGAGGUGCUGGGUUCAAUCCUCAGCACCACAC